Molecule: ribosomal RNA, 253 nt
Filed under: uncultured bacterium
Lineage: Bacteria
Description: partial 16S ribosomal RNA
Rfam family: Bacterial small subunit ribosomal RNA
Source: RNAcentral
GACGAAGGGGGCUAGCGUUGUUCGGAAUUACUGGGCGUAAAGCGCGUGUAGGUGGUUGUCCAAGUUGGAUGUGAAAGCCUUGAGCUCAACUCAAGAAAUGCAUUCAGGACUGGAUGGCUAGAGGACCGGAGAGGAUAGUGGAAUUCCCAGUGUAGUGGUGAAAUACGUAGAGAUUGGGAAGAACACCAGUGGCGAAGGCGGCUAUCUGGACGGUUUCUGACACUAAGACUCGAAAGCGUGGGGAGCAAACAGG